GAUCCUGGCUCAGAGUGAACGCUGGCGGCGUGCUUAACACAUGCAAGUCGAACGAGAACGGAUUAUAGCUUGCUAUAAUUGUCAGCUAAGUGGCGCACGGGUGAGUAAUGUAUAGGUAAUAUGCCUCUUACUAAGGGAUAACAAUUGGAAACGAUUGCUAAUACCUUAUAUUCCUUUUUAUCAAAAGAUAAAAAGGGAAAGAUUUAUUGGUAAGAGAUUAGCCUGUAUUGUAUCAGUUAGUUGGUGGGGUAA
Molecule: ribosomal RNA, 252 nt
Filed under: uncultured bacterium
Lineage: Bacteria
Description: partial 16S ribosomal RNA
Rfam family: Bacterial small subunit ribosomal RNA
Source: RNAcentral